Molecule: non-coding RNA, 98 nt
Organism: Acanthosepion pharaonis
Lineage: Eukaryota; Metazoa; Mollusca; Cephalopoda; Sepiida; Sepiidae
Source: the annotation of a GenBank genome assembly
GUUGAAACACUGGUUCUUAUAUGAUCACCGAAGUUAAGCAGCAUCAAGCUGCGUCACUACCUACAUGGGCGACCGCUUGGGAAUACCAGGUGCUGUCA